RNAcentral lists this ribosomal RNA (253 nucleotides) under uncultured bacterium. Its description in RNAcentral is "partial 16S ribosomal RNA". It matches the Rfam family "Bacterial small subunit ribosomal RNA", at positions 524 to 776 of the family's 1533-position model. The record is from RNAcentral.
UACAGAGGGGGCAAGCGUUGUUCGGAAUUACUGGGCGUAAAGGGCGCGUAGGCGGCCUGCUAAGUCGAACGUGAAAUCCCUGGGCUCAACCCAGGAACUGCGUCCGAUACUGGUUGGCUUGAAUCCGGGAGAGGGAUGUGGAAUUCCAGGUGUAGCGGUGAAAUGCGUAGAUAUCUGGAGGAACACCAAUGGCGAAGGCAGCUCGCUGGGACGUGACUGACGCUGAGACGCGAAAGCGUGGGGAGCAAACAGG